Molecule: long non-coding RNA, 401 nt
Organism: Oxyura jamaicensis (ruddy duck)
Lineage: Eukaryota; Metazoa; Chordata; Aves; Anseriformes; Anatidae
Exons: 3
Source: RefSeq, a predicted model, not a curated record
ACUGGUGCCAUUUUACAACUCCAACUUUCCCUGGGUUUUAAGCUAAAUUAUGCCACUGUUCAUCAGCGAUGCUGUUUCUCCACACAUCAAAACUUCUUAGAUCACCGAAUCCUCAUAUGCCAAGAAGUUUUGCACGGCCAUGUUUGAUGUUGUAAUUAGGAAAACAGUGAAGGUUUCCAAAGUAGGAUGCCGCCUAUGGUCAGACACCACAACAUGUCUUGGGUGAUUUCUACAGUCCUAGAGGAGCCUUCACCUCUCCUAAGACUCUCAGCAAGAAAAGAAGCUUCUUUAUUAACUCAGAGAAAAUAUGACAUAUCCCCAAGUGUUCCAGUGACUUCAUAGAAGAGUGAAUUUCCUGACUUGAACAAGCAUCCCUCAGCUGUGGUUGGAAAAAAAAAAAA